Molecule: ribosomal RNA, 468 nt
Filed under: uncultured bacterium
Lineage: Bacteria
Description: partial 16S ribosomal RNA
Rfam family: Bacterial small subunit ribosomal RNA
Source: RNAcentral
GACGAACGCUGGCGGCGUGCUUAACACAUGCAAGUCGAACGGAAAGGCCCUGCGUUUGUGGGGUGCUCGAUUGGCGAACGGGUGAGUAACACGUGAGUAACCUGCCCUUGACUUUCGGAUAACUUCAGGAAACUGGGGCUAAUACCGGAUAGGAUCUCCUGCUGCAUGGUGGUGGUUGGAAAGUUUCGGCGGUUGGGGAUGGACUCGCGGCUUAUCAGCUUGUUGGUGGGGUAGUUGCUUACCAAGGCUUUGACGGGUAGCCGGCCUGAGAGGGUGACCGGCCACAUUGGGACUGAGAUACGGACCAGAAUCCUACGGGAGGCAGCAGUGGGGAAUAUUGCACAAUGGGCGGAAGCCUGAUGCAGCAACGCCGCGUGCGGGAUGACGGCCUUCGGGUUGUAAACCGCUUUCGCCUGUGACGAAGCGUGAGUGACGGUAAUGGGUAAAGAAGCACCGGCUAACUACGUG